UUUGGAGAGUUUGAUCCUGGCUCAGGACGAACGCUGGCGGCGUGCCUAAUACAUGCAAGUCGAGCGGAGCAGGAAUGGAAGCUUGCUUCCAUUCCUGCUUAGCGGCGGACGGGUGAGUA
This 119-nucleotide ribosomal RNA is filed under the name Paenibacillus sp. S150. RNAcentral's name for it is "partial 16S ribosomal RNA". It matches the Rfam family "Bacterial small subunit ribosomal RNA", at positions 1 to 112 of the family's 1533-position model. The record is from RNAcentral. Lineage: Bacteria; Bacillati; Bacillota; Bacilli; Caryophanales; Paenibacillaceae.